AGCAAAACCAAAAGUCUGUCCACCCAGCAGUAAAAAUGGGUACCUGCCUUUGCUGGGGAUGUAAAUGUGAGACAUCGUUGUAAAGUGCUUUGAGUAU
Long non-coding RNA from Thalassophryne amazonica, 97 nucleotides. RefSeq lists it as uncharacterized. The transcript has 3 exons. The record is from RefSeq and is a predicted model, not a curated record. NCBI's taxonomy places the organism in Eukaryota, Metazoa, Chordata, Actinopteri, Batrachoidiformes, Batrachoididae.